UCUCUCCCCCGGGCUGUGGUGGAGGCUUCUUCUUUGGAGGCUUUUAAGCAGAGGCUGGAUGGCCAUCUGUCGGGGGUGCUUUGAAUGCAAUUUCCUGCUUCUUGCAGGGGGUUGGACUGGAUGGCCCAUGAGGUCUCUUCCAACUCUACUAUUCUAUGAUUCUAUGAUUCUAUGAAAGGACAUUAUAGUAACCAGUCCCUCUUGUUUGGUCAUGCAGAUGCCCCAUUCUGACCUCAGCAGAUGUAACUUCAAUGGCCAUGCAAGGAAUUCCAUGGCUGGCAAGAAGCAGAGAAGUCAACAAGUGAAUGAUCAACUCUCUUCCCUGCAUAGAUCAAUACAGGAAAGGGAUCCUUCUAUGAUCCACUGACUCUGAAAACAGAAGCAAGUGUUGUUCGCUGAACUCUUUAUCACUUUAUUAGCAACCUGAUACCACCUUACAGCAUUAACAAAAAUAAUCAACCCAAGGACAUUCUCUCAACAAGAAGAAUAAAUCUUCACCUUCAUUACGUUGACUCCAG
This 518-nucleotide long non-coding RNA is filed under the name Anolis carolinensis (green anole). RNAcentral describes it as "lncRNA (ENSACAG00000037583.1)". The record is from RNAcentral. Lineage: Eukaryota; Metazoa; Chordata; Lepidosauria; Squamata; Anolidae.